GGGGUUGUGGCUCAGUGGUAGAGUGCUUGCCUGGCAUGUAUGAGGUGCUGGAUUUGAUCCUCAGCACCACA
RNAcentral lists this transfer RNA (71 nucleotides) under Marmota monax (woodchuck). Its description in RNAcentral is "tRNA.Ala". It matches the Rfam family "tRNA". From Rfam's summary of the family: Transfer RNA (tRNA) molecules are approximately 80 nucleotides in length. Their secondary structure includes four short double-helical elements and three loops (D, anti-codon, and T loops). Further hydrogen bonds mediate the characteristic L-shaped molecular structure. tRNAs have two regions of fundamental functional importance: the anti-codon, which is responsible for specific mRNA codon recognition, and the 3' end, to which the tRNAs corresponding amino acid is attached (by aminoacyl-tRNA synthetases). tRNAs cope with the degeneracy of the genetic code in two manners: having more than one tRNA (with a specific anti-codon) for a particular amino acid; and 'wobble' base-pairing, i.e. permitting non-standard base-pairing at the 3rd anti-codon position. Lineage: Eukaryota; Metazoa; Chordata; Mammalia; Rodentia; Sciuridae. The record is from RNAcentral.